This 400-nucleotide ribosomal RNA is filed under the name uncultured bacterium. RNAcentral's name for it is "bacterial SSU rRNA". It matches the Rfam family "Bacterial small subunit ribosomal RNA", at positions 358 to 774 of the family's 1533-position model. The record is from RNAcentral.
GGGAUAUUGGUCAAUGGGCGCAAGCCUGAACCAGCGACGCCGCGUGGGUGAAGAAGGUCUUCGGAUCGUAAAGCCCUUUUCCCACUGAAGAGGAAGGACGGUAGGUGGGGAAGAAGUCUCGGCUAACUACGUGCCAGCAGCCGCGGUAAAACGUAGGAGACAAGCGUUAUCCGGAGUUACUGGGCGUAAAGGGCGUGCAGGUGGCGUCUUAAGUCUGUUGUGAAAGCGCCUGGCUUAACCGGGCGAGGCCAAUGGAGACUGAGAGGCUGGAGGACGGCGGAGGGGUGUGGAAUUCCGGGUGUAGUGGUGAAAUGCGUAGAGAUCCGGAGGAACACCAGAGGCGAAGGCGGCGCUCUAAGCCGUACCUGACACUGAGACGCGACAGCACGGGGAGCAAACG